RNAcentral lists this ribosomal RNA (253 nucleotides) under uncultured bacterium. RNAcentral's name for it is "partial 16S ribosomal RNA". It matches the Rfam family "Bacterial small subunit ribosomal RNA", at positions 524 to 776 of the family's 1533-position model. The record is from RNAcentral.
UACAGAGGGCUCGAGCGUUAAUCGGAAUCACUGGGCUUAAAGCGUGCGUAGGCGGACGUGUAGGCACUUUGUGAAAUCCCCCGGCUCAACCGGGGAAUUGCUUGGUGAACCACACGUCUCGAGGCAAGUAGGGGCUGUCGGAACGCUAGGUGGAGUGGUGAAAUGCGUUGAUAUCUAGCGGAACGCCGAAGGAGAAAUCAGGCAGCUGGGCUUGUCCUGACGCUGAGGCACGAAAGCGUGGGGAGCGAACGGG